Molecule: unclassified non-coding RNA, 805 nt
Filed under: Haliotis rubra (blacklip abalone)
Lineage: Eukaryota; Metazoa; Mollusca; Gastropoda; Lepetellida; Haliotidae
Description: uncharacterized LOC124266862, transcript variant X2
Source: RNAcentral
AUUUACUUGAUUUGGAAGCCAUGGACAUGACAGGUUUGUGCAUCGCGCUGCUCUUCCUUGCUGUUAAGGGAAAUCCAAAGCGGCAUACACCCAAAAAGGGCUUCGGUGUCGUUCCAUAGGUUGAAUCGAUCGUAGUCCUUCGACUUCGCGAGCGAAAGUUAUAACCACUGUCCCACCCUGCCGUCCUAACUAAUAGGUGCAGUCACAUAUCCUACCCUUCACGUAGAUGGUGAAGCUCAUCUUGGACAACCAACAUCUUUACGCUGCACCUGUGACUGGCCAAUAACUUUGAGAGAUCCUGAAGGCACAGCCGUCCUGCAGUGUAUAUCGACAAGCAACUGCCUAAGUAAUAGGCCAGGGUAUAUAUCUUUGGAUAGAGAUAAAAGUGAGGGAGGGACGUAUGUAGCAGUCAUAAAUGAAACAAGGACAGGAGAUGAAGGAGAAUGGAGAUGUCAGUGUGGCAACCAAGAGGCAAAGGCCACGCUACGUAUACAGCGCACGACAUCCAUGGAUCUGACUACUCCAGAACCCAAAAGGGCACCUGCUUAUCCUACUCUAAAAGUUGAUGACAGUCCAAUCCUUGGACAACCAACAUCUUUACGCUGCACCUGUGACUGGCCAAUAACUUUGAGAGAUCCUGAAGGCACAGCCGUCCUGCAGUGUAUAUCGACAAGCAACUGCCUAAGUAAUAGGCCAGGGUAUAUAUCUUUGGAUAGAGAUAAAAGUGAGGGAGGGACGUAUGUAGCAGUCAUAAAUGAAACAAGGACAGGAGAUGAAGGAGAAUGGAGAUGUCAGUGUGGCAACC